CCUGGAAGCCUCAGCACCACUGUAAGGCUGAGGUCUGCAUUCACUUUCCCCUAAAGACUUUAGACUGCGUGACGACAUAUGGCUUGUUUACAAAUGAAAGUACGCUCAGCCUCGGUCAGCACCGGAUGCAUGUCAGCUGUUUGCACAGUCACUUUGGCACCAGAUGGUCACAGACGUGUAAUUGGGACAGAGAGGAGUGGUAGGGGAUCCGGUGAGGGCCCUCUGGACUCCCACCUCAUGGGCCCCCUGCUCCAUUCUGCUGUGGCUGUAAAACAAGAUUAUUUUGUUGUUUAGUUCCACCAGAUGCAGCAGCACCACUGGAUGGGCACUGUCUGGCCCUGAUGAGCAGAUCUAAGAGGGAUUAGUGGGCUGUUGUGGUGGAUCGGCAAGAACAGUGGGAGGCUGUCCACACACAGCUGUGUGUUUGUGUGUUUCAUAAUGUUCUGGCCUCUGGCCUGUUUCUGGCUUUGGCUCCAACCCUGAACCACCUUUUCCUCCCACUGACCUCACAGUUCGGGGAGCUCUCGGACUGCAGACAGCACAAAAUCUGAACUUUCUGGAAUGGCAUGAAAGCUUUUAGAGAAACACGAUUCUCCCUCAAAGAUUGUGGGAGAUAUGUGCUCAGACAGACUCCUCGGAAAGGUUUUUUGUUUUAUUAAUCAUUGGCUGCAAUUGUUUGGGAUUUCUUUAGCUUUACAAACAUGUAAAGCAUUUAUCAACAAAUAUUUUUAGAAAGUAUUUUUUGCUGAAGAAAGACAUUUUUGCAUCAAUAUUUGAUUAAAGGUAUGUUUUCUGAA
Molecule: long non-coding RNA, 797 nt
Organism: Etheostoma spectabile (orangethroat darter)
Lineage: Eukaryota; Metazoa; Chordata; Actinopteri; Perciformes; Percidae
Exons: 2
Source: RefSeq, a predicted model, not a curated record